CGCGUAGGCGGACCUUCAAGUCGGUUGUGAAAACUUCGAGCUUAACUCGGAGCCUGCAUCCGAUACUGUCGGUCUUGAGUACAGGAGAGGAAAGUGGAAUUCCAGGUGUAGCGGUGAAAUGCGUAGAUAUCUGGAAGAACACCAGUAGCGAAGGCGGCUUUCUGGACUGAUACUGACGCUAAAGCGCGAAGGCUUGGGGAGCAAACAGGAUUAGAUACCCUGGUAGUC
RNAcentral lists this ribosomal RNA (228 nucleotides) under uncultured bacterium. RNAcentral's name for it is "partial 16S ribosomal RNA". It matches the Rfam family "Bacterial small subunit ribosomal RNA", at positions 568 to 795 of the family's 1533-position model. The record is from RNAcentral.